UGAUUAGAAAUGGGGAUGGAACUUUCCGUUAUAAGAAGUAACUACAUUUAAAUUGAAAAGACUAAAAAUGGUAAGAAAUUGACUAUUGAAGAUAAAAGUUAUGAUUUCUAAACAUCUUAUGAAAAAACAUGGAUCUUGGGUUAUAAAAUUUAGUUGAAUUGAGCAACAUUCAUAACAGACAGUAAAGUCAUUGUGAAACAACUUACAAUUACUGCUUCAAAGUUUUACAAGUUCAUAUUAAAUUACUAAACCAAUGGACUAAUGUA
RNAcentral lists this unclassified non-coding RNA (266 nucleotides) under Hevea brasiliensis (rubber tree). Lineage: Eukaryota; Viridiplantae; Streptophyta; Magnoliopsida; Malpighiales; Euphorbiaceae. The record is from RNAcentral.